UGGCACAAAUACUGACGCUCAGGUGCGAAAGCGUGGGGAGCAAACAGGUUUAGAUACCCUGGUAGUCCACGCCGUAAACGAUGUCUACUAGCUGUUCGUGGUCUUGUACUGUGAGUAGCGCAGCUAACGCACUAAGUAGACCGCCUGGGGAGUACGGUCGCAAGAUUAAAACUCAAAUGAAUUGACGGGGGCCCGCACAAGCGGUGGAGCAUGUGGUUUAAUUCGACGCAACGCGAAGAACCUUACCUACUCUUGACAUCUAGCGAAGAUUGCAGAGAUGCAGUUGUGCCUUCGGGAACGCUAAGACAGGUGCUGCAUGGCUGUCGUCAGCUCGUGUUGUGAAAUGUUGGGUUAAGUCCCGCAACGAGCGCAACCCUUAUCCUUAGUUGCCAGCACGUAAUGGUGGGAACUCUAGGGAGACUGCCGGUGAUAAACCGGAGGAAGGUGGGGACGACGUCAAGUCAUCAUGGCCCUUACGAGUAGGGCUACACACGUGCUACAAUGGUACGUACAGAGGGAGGCAAGCUGGCGACAGUGAGCGGAUCUCUUAAAGCGUAUCGUAGUCCGGAUCGCAGUCUGCAACUCGACUGCGUGAAGUCGGAAUCGCUAGUAAUCGCAAAUCAGAAUGUUGCGGUGAAUACGUUCCCGGGCCUUGUACACACCGCCCGUCACACCAUGGGAGUGGGUUGCAAAAGAAGUAGGUAGCUUAACCCUUCGGGGAGGGCGCUUACCACUUUGUGAUUCAUGACUGGGUGAAGUCGUAACAAGGUAACCCAUUCA
Molecule: ribosomal RNA, 780 nt
Filed under: uncultured Rheinheimera sp.
Lineage: Bacteria; Pseudomonadati; Pseudomonadota; Gammaproteobacteria; Chromatiales; Chromatiaceae
Description: bacterial SSU rRNA
Rfam family: Bacterial small subunit ribosomal RNA
Source: RNAcentral